UGGGGAAUAUUGGACAAUGGGGGCAACCCUGAUCCAGCCAUGCCGCGUGUGUGAAGAAGGCCUUUUGGUUGUAAAGCACUUUAAGCAGGGAGGAGAGGCUAAUGGUUAAUACCCAUUAGAUUAGACGUUACCCGCAGAAUAAGCACCGGCUAACUCUGUGCCAGCAGCCGCGGUAAUACAGAGGGUGCGAGCGUUAAUCGGAAUUACUGGGCGUAAAGCGAGUGUAGGUGGCUCAUUAAGUCACAUGUGAAAUCCCCGGGCUUAACCUGGGAACUGCAUGUGAUACUGGUGGUGCUAGAAUAUGUGAGAGGGAAGUAGAAUUCCCAGGUGUAGCGGUGAAAUGCGUAGAGAUCUGGAGGAAUACCGAUGGCGAAGGCAGCUUCCUGGCAUAAUAUUGACACUGAGAUUCGAAAGCGUGGGUAGCAAACAGGAUUAGAUACCCUGGUAGUCCACGCCGUAAACGAUGUCUACUAGCCGUUGGGGUCCUUGAGACUUUAGUGGCGCAGUUAACGCGAUAAGUAGACCGCCUGGGGAGUACGGCCGCAAGGUU
This 550-nucleotide ribosomal RNA is filed under the name uncultured bacterium. RNAcentral's name for it is "partial 16S ribosomal RNA". It matches the Rfam family "Bacterial small subunit ribosomal RNA", at positions 355 to 895 of the family's 1533-position model. The record is from RNAcentral.